AUUUUAUUAUAAUUGACUGAAGAAAUUCAUUUUCUCGCAACCGAUAUCAAUAUCUUCUGAGAUAAGUAAACUAAAUAUCUGAAAAAAAAAGUUAAGUAAGAAAGGUAACUUAGUGACAAAAUGUUUCGAACAAGUGCCCUGACUGUUCUUCUGAUUACCUUCGCUUGUUAUUGGUGCCAGGAUGAAUCGAGUAGAGCUAUACGAUCGGCAGAUCUUGAGAACAUGAGUUUGGAAGAGUUUCAAAACUUGGCGACUAAUCACCCAGAAGAACUGAGUCAAAUGUUUUCCACCCCAGAAGAGGCCAGGGAUUUUGUCAAUCAGCUCAACCAGAGAGUUAACUCCCAACAAAAAUAAAAAACCACUUGGAAUACACUUGAGACGUGCAGAUCAGAAAAAAUACUAACUGAAAGAAAAUUGGUUUAAAACCUCUUCCGUGGGUUUCGGUUAUAGACUUGAAAGCUUCAGUGAAUUGAAUUAAACAAUAAUUUAUCGCA
This is a long non-coding RNA of Symsagittifera roscoffensis, 494 nucleotides long. RefSeq lists it as uncharacterized. NCBI's taxonomy places the organism in Eukaryota, Metazoa, Xenacoelomorpha, Acoela, Convolutidae. The transcript is spliced from 3 exons. The record is from RefSeq and is a predicted model, not a curated record.